Molecule: long non-coding RNA, 248 nt
Organism: Glycine soja
Lineage: Eukaryota; Viridiplantae; Streptophyta; Magnoliopsida; Fabales; Fabaceae
Exons: 2
Source: RefSeq, a predicted model, not a curated record
CUUUUCUUUCCUCUUCCGGGAGCAUUCUCUUCCACCGCAAGCCACCGCGAGCCCAGCUGCUGCUUCUUUCGCCUGGACGCCAUUGCCGUUCGAGAUCAUGGCCAGAACACGAGGUUUAGGUCGUGCCAUAGGUAGAUUUGUAGGCAGAGAUAGAGCUGCUGGCGAGGAUGCUGGCGAUGUUCCCGAGAGGCGUAGGCCUACUGCCUCAGCCCGUAGGCUACGCGUUCAUCAGAUGACUACGGAGGGAC